GACGAACGCUGGCGGCGUGCUUAACACAUGCAAGUCGAACGGAAAGGCCCUGCUUUUGUGGGGUGCUCGAGUGGCGAACGGGUGAGUAACACGUGAGUAACCUGCCCUUGACUUUGGGAUAACUUCAGGAAACUGGGGCUAAUACCGGAUAGGAGCUCCUGCUGCAUGGUGGGGGUUGGAAAGUUUCGGCGGUUGGGGAUGGACUCGCGGCUUAUCAGCUUGUUGGUGGGGUAGUGGCUUACCAAGGCUUUGACGGGUAGCCGGCCUGAGAGGGUGACCGGCGACAUUGGGACUGAGAUACGCCCCAGACUCGUACGGGCGGCAGCAGUGGGGAAUAUUGCACAAUGGGCGGAAGCCUGAUGCAGCAACGCCGCGUGCGGGAUGACGGCCUUCGGGUUGUAAACCGCUUUCGCCUGUGACGAAGCGUGAGUGACGGUAAUGGGUAAAGAAGCACCGGCUAACUACGUG
This 468-nucleotide ribosomal RNA is filed under the name uncultured bacterium. RNAcentral describes it as "partial 16S ribosomal RNA". It matches the Rfam family "Bacterial small subunit ribosomal RNA", at positions 28 to 507 of the family's 1533-position model. The record is from RNAcentral.